GCUUCAAAGUCUCUUUAGAUGGUAUGGAGUACUUAGUAAUUAUCAGUCUAAUAUGCCUUCUUCUCUCUGCUUUGUUAAGUCCUUGUGCUUCCUCUCAAAUUCAGGUCCAAUCAUUUCAUCAUAAACAAGCCAAUAAUGAGUUCCAGCCAGCUUCUAUUCCCACAUUGUCAAGGAAGCUUAGAUUCACUACUAUUGUAGGAAAAAAAGAAGGUUCACAUUUCAUGUCCAACAAGAAGAAGGAACAUAUUUCAG
Ziziphus jujuba (common jujube) is the source of this 252-nucleotide long non-coding RNA. RefSeq lists it as uncharacterized. The transcript has 3 exons. Lineage: Eukaryota; Viridiplantae; Streptophyta; Magnoliopsida; Rosales; Rhamnaceae. The record is from RefSeq and is a predicted model, not a curated record.